RNAcentral lists this long non-coding RNA (368 nucleotides) under Rhinopithecus roxellana (golden snub-nosed monkey). Its description in RNAcentral is "lncRNA (ENSRROG00000045978.1)". Lineage: Eukaryota; Metazoa; Chordata; Mammalia; Primates; Cercopithecidae. The record is from RNAcentral.
CCUAAAGCCACAGAAGCUGUGGAAGGCGCCAUCCUGCCUGUCACAGGAGGGGCCCUGGGCUGAGAACACCGGAGCUGACUGGGGGCUUCUUGGAAUCAAGGAUGAAGCAGAGCACAGAAGCUCCUCUUCCUGCCCAGGGAGGAGACACAGGAGGGUCACAGGGCCAGGCGCAGCACAGAGCACAGGGAAAAGCAUGAAAACAGACUAAGACAAGUGCCAACCUGUCUGGGCAAGAUGCCAGCUCUGUACAAGGUGAAGGAAAUGACAACUCGCAACACGGGGAGAAAGUAACGACCUUUGAAUCACCCCCUCAUGCUGUGCACAAAGGCCUGCUCAUUGUAUGUGAAUCUACAGAUGAUAUAAAUACA